RNAcentral lists this ribosomal RNA (158 nucleotides) under uncultured Desulfuromonas sp. RNAcentral describes it as "partial 16S ribosomal RNA". It matches the Rfam family "Bacterial small subunit ribosomal RNA", at positions 1229 to 1382 of the family's 1533-position model. The record is from RNAcentral. Lineage: Bacteria; Pseudomonadati; Thermodesulfobacteriota; Desulfuromonadia; Desulfuromonadales; Desulfuromonadaceae.
UGGACCGGUACAAAGGGUAGCAACACCGGCGGAGGUAGGACGACCAACCCCAAAAAGCCGGUCUCAGUUCGGAUUGGAGUCUGCAACUCGACUCCAUGAAGUUGGAAUCGCUAGUAAUCGUGGAUCAGCAUGCCACGGUGAAUACGUUCCCGGGCCUU